CCCGCUCGCCGGAAGACCAAGGGUUCCUGUCCAACGUUAAUCGGGGCAGGGUGAGUCGACCCCUAAGGCGAGGCCGAAAGGCGUAGUCGAUGGGAAACAGGUUAAUAUUCCUGUACUUGGUGUUACUGCGAAGGGGGGACGGAGAAGGCUAUGUUGGCCGGGCGACGGUUGUCCCGGUUUAAGCGUGUAGGCUGGUUUUCCAGGCAAAUCCGGAAAAUCAAGGCUGAGGCGUGAUGACGAGGCACUACGGUGCUGAAGCAACAAAUGCCCUGCUUCCAGGAAAAGCCUCUAAGCAUCAGGUAACAUCAAAUCGUACCCCAAACCGACACAGGUGGUCAGGUAGAGAAUACCAAGGCGCUUGAGAGAACUCGGGUGAAGGAACUAGGCAAAAUGGUGCCGUAACUUCGGGAGAAGG
This 415-nucleotide ribosomal RNA is filed under the name Escherichia coli. Its description in RNAcentral is "partial 23S ribosomal RNA". It matches the Rfam family "Bacterial large subunit ribosomal RNA", at positions 1329 to 1746 of the family's 2925-position model. Lineage: Bacteria; Pseudomonadati; Pseudomonadota; Gammaproteobacteria; Enterobacterales; Enterobacteriaceae. The record is from RNAcentral.